RNAcentral lists this ribosomal RNA (492 nucleotides) under uncultured bacterium. RNAcentral describes it as "partial 16S ribosomal RNA". It matches the Rfam family "Bacterial small subunit ribosomal RNA", at positions 29 to 507 of the family's 1533-position model. The record is from RNAcentral.
AGUGAACGCUGGCGGUAGGCCUAACACAUGCAAGUCGAACGGCAGCACAGUAAGAGCUUGCUCUUACGGGUGGCGAGUGGCGGACGGGUUAGGAAUACAUCGGAAUCUACUUUUUCGUGGGGGAUAACGUAGGGAAACUUACGCUAAUACCGCAUACGACCUACGGGUGAAAGCAGGGGAUCUUCGGACCUUGCCCGAUUGAAUGAGCCGAUGUCGGAUUAGCUAGUUGGCGGGGUAAAGGCCCACCAAGGCGACGAUCCGUAGCUGGUCUGAGAGGAUGACAAGCCACACGGGAACUGAGACACGGUCCAGACUCCUACGGGAGGCAGCAGUGGGGAAUAUUGGACAAUGGGCGCAAGCCUGAUCCAGCCAUACCGCGUGGGUGAAGAAGGCCUUCGGGUUGUAAAGCCCUUUUGUUGGGAAAGAAAAGCAGCAGGUUAAUACCCCGCUGUUCUGACGGUACCCAAAGAAUAAGCACCGGCUAACUUCGUG